GGAUAGGGAGGCACGUGCCCCCCCCAAAUAUUUUGUUUUAUUUUAUUAUUCAGUGUCGGUUUAGCCUUUUAUUUGUCUACAAUAUUUAUUUUUUCAUAUUAUAAGCGGAGCCUCACAAAAUGGGAUCAGUAAAACUAACAAACAAUGAUAAAAUAUAAUAAGAUCGUAAUCCUGAAGACCGCACAUUUAAUGGAUGGGCCUCUGUGCAAAUAAUUAGGUAGGUAUCUAUAUUAUAAUGAAUAGGUGCAUUUUAGAUAAAUACUUUGAUACCCAUAUGCCGUAAUUUUUGGGGCCUUUUGCAAAACAACCAUUAAACAUAAUGUAUUUAAUGAAGUCAUCGUAGAUAGUGAAGAUGAAAAACAAUUAAAUUAGAUAAUAAAUAUAAGACAUGUGCUUAUAUUAUAAUUCAAGAACUCUCAUUUCAUUCAAAUUCGUUUCAUAAUUUAUUAACAAUGUAUAUAUAUAUAUACAUUAUAUAAUAAUAUAUAUAUAUAUAUAUUAUGUUAUUAUUGUUAUACUUUACUCAAGUGAUUUGUGAAAGGGCAUUUGCUAAACUAAAACUUGUGAAGUCCAAAAUCAAAUCGACAAUUAGUCAACAACAUUUAUCAUCUUUAAUGCUUAUUGAAAUUGGAUUAGAUAUCGAGUUACAGAACACGGAAAUAAUUGACACUAUAGCCAAAUCAUCUAAACUUUUACAAGAAUAACUAAUUUAAUAAUAUAGUGAUUAGUACUAACAAUUUGUUAUUAAAUAAUAAAAUGAACAUAAAAGAUAUCUAACAAUGAUGCUUUUGUUAUUAAUUUCUUCGAAAAUGAAAAUAUUAUAUUUGUUUAACUACUCCUUUUUAGUAUGAUUCUCAGAGAUUCUGAGUGUAGCGAGGGAUCAUUUGGUUUUACUAUACUGUGUUUUUGUUUAGUGUCUAUCCUUCUUUCUACCAGAAAUCUUAUUCUAAUCAAAAAAUGACAAGAGAUCUUUUUUGUUAUACUUUGAAUCUAGUUAGUGAUUCAAAAAGUAAUUUUUUGAUUUUCCAAGCAGAUUUAAAAAUAAUUGGGAAAAACGAAAAAAAAAACAUAUAGAAAUACUGCACUGUCUAAUAAUAUCAGAUUUUUAAAUCUGUACAGUAAAUACUUGUGAGUUACAUUACUAUAUUAAUUAAUAACGUUCGUAUCGAUGUGUCAUGUUAGUAAAAUAUGGAUAUUAAUUUGUAACAAAACUAUAUAAUAUGCGAUCGACUAUACUGCAGUCACAGGUGAGAGACAAGAGACUAUACUUACGAAAACCGCAGGUGCAACUGCAGGUGAAAAGUGGUUUUUUCCUCAAUGCGUGUUUGUAACUGUUCGUAUAGAAUUUUAAUGUGUAUCGUUAAUGAUAAUUAAUUUUUUGUCGCUUUGUUUUAAAUAACGGUAUUAUAUAGUAUAAUAUUCAUGUUAAAACUCCAAAGUACUUUAUUUAGUCAUAAUUAUUUCUAAUCAUAUUUAUUUUAGAUGACACAAGUUUUCGUUGUAUUCUCGGUCAUUGGUCAGCCAUUACAUUACGACGGCAGUGAUAACGUUUAUUACAUUUCGCGUAUACUUGAGACAUUGACAUUCGGGAACCUAUGGCCAAUUGUUUCUCUGUUCCAGUUUUUCCAGAAACCACCCUCCACCUACCCGUAUGUAACGGAAUGAUAAAAAAAAAUCGACGGUACUUGCCUAUAAUAUAAUAGUUAUGUAUCUAUAAGUUGGUUAUACGAAU
This 1732-nucleotide long non-coding RNA is filed under the name Cinara cedri. Lineage: Eukaryota; Metazoa; Arthropoda; Insecta; Hemiptera; Aphididae. The record is from RNAcentral.